Molecule: ribosomal RNA, 253 nt
Filed under: uncultured bacterium
Lineage: Bacteria
Description: partial 16S ribosomal RNA
Rfam family: Bacterial small subunit ribosomal RNA
Source: RNAcentral
UACGGAGGGAGCUAGCGUUGUUCGGAAUUACUGGGCGUAAAGCGCACGUAGGCGGCUUUUUAAGUCAGGGGUGAAAUCCCGGGGCUCAACCCCGGAACUGCCCUUGAAACUGGAGAGCUAGAAUCUUGGAGAGGCGAGUGGAAUUCCGAGUGUAGAGGUGAAAUUCGUAGAUAUUCGGAAGAACACCAGUGGCGAAGGCGACUCGCUGGACAAGUAUUGACGCUGAAGUGCGAAAGCGUGGGGAGCAAACAGG